This is a long non-coding RNA of Bombus terrestris (buff-tailed bumblebee), 512 nucleotides long. RefSeq lists it as uncharacterized. Lineage: Eukaryota; Metazoa; Arthropoda; Insecta; Hymenoptera; Apidae. The record is from RefSeq and is a predicted model, not a curated record. The transcript has 2 exons.
CCCAUUUAAAAAAAUCAAUACUUAAUAAUUAGCAAUUAAUACACUUUCCAAGUAUAUACGACUGCUAUCUUGUUUUCCGCAAUUUUUAAUGAGAAUUAUGCUUUUAAGGUUAAUAGAUAAACGAUGUUUCAAACAUAAGUUAUUUUUAUGAAUUUAUAUCAUUUGUCUCAAUAACAAAAAUUAAGUUUUGCUUCAUAGAAAAAGUACAAGUAAUUAACUAAUUAAUUCAUACCUUUUAUUGAAUAAAAAAUACAAUUAUGGUGAUUAAUUGAAUAUAAACGGAAUUACCGUACGCACACAUUACGCCAUCAUUGCUUAAUGAACAUAUCUUUUAAUAUAAUUUGUACUGUAAUAUUUAACAGAAAUAUACAUACAUCAAAAAUGAAAUAUAUUUAACAUGUUAAAACAUGUUAUUGUUGUUGUAACAUGGUAAUUUGUUAAUGUGUUAAACAUAUAUUUAUUAAAUAAGUAUGAACUAUUAAUAAAAAUCACGAAAUUAAUUAAUUUAUAAA